UGGGGAAUAUUGGACAAUGGGCGAAAGCCUGAUCCAGCCAUGCCGCGUGUGUGAAGAAGGUCUUCGGAUUGUAAAGCACUUUAAGUUGGGAGGAAGGGCAGUAAAUUAAUACUUUGCUGUUUUGACGUUACCGACAGAAUAAGCACCGGCUAACUCUGUGCCAGCAGCCGCGGUAAUACAGAGGGUGCAAGCGUUAAUCGGAAUUACUGGGCGUAAAGCGCGCGUAGGUGGUUCGUUAAGUUGGAUGUGAAAUCCCCGGGCUCAACCUGGGAACUGCAUUCAAAACUGACGAGCUAGAGUAUGGUAGAGGGUGGUGGAAUUUCCUGUGUAGCGGUGAAAUGCGUAGAUAUAGGAAGGAACACCAGUGGCGAAGGCGACCACCUGGACUGAUACUGACACUGAGGUGCGAAAGCGUGGGGAGCAAAAGCAGGAU
RNAcentral lists this ribosomal RNA (433 nucleotides) under uncultured bacterium. RNAcentral's name for it is "partial 16S ribosomal RNA". It matches the Rfam family "Bacterial small subunit ribosomal RNA", at positions 355 to 778 of the family's 1533-position model. The record is from RNAcentral.